AUCCGGUGAAAUUUUAAUACCUGUGAAGAUGCAGGUUACCCGCGACAAGACGGAAAGACCCCAUGGAGCUUUACUGCAGCUUGAUAUUGAAUUUGGGUACGAUCUGUACAGGAUAGGUGGGAGCCGUAGAACUUUGAGCGCCAGCUUGAAGGGAGGCAUCCUUGGGAUACCACCCUGAUCGUAUCUAGGUUCUAACUUGGUACCGUGAUCCGGUACGAGGACAGUGUCAGGUGGGCAGUUUGACUGGGGCGGUCGCCUCCUAAAGAGUAACGGAGGCGCCCCAAGGUUCCCUCAGAAUGGUUGGAAAUCAUUCGAAGAGUGCAAAGGCAGAAGG
Molecule: ribosomal RNA, 334 nt
Filed under: Paenibacillus polymyxa
Lineage: Bacteria; Bacillati; Bacillota; Bacilli; Caryophanales; Paenibacillaceae
Description: partial 23S ribosomal RNA
Rfam family: Bacterial large subunit ribosomal RNA
Source: RNAcentral